RNAcentral lists this long non-coding RNA (845 nucleotides) under Physcomitrium patens. RNAcentral describes it as "long non-coding RNA (PPAT_LNC005884)". Lineage: Eukaryota; Viridiplantae; Streptophyta; Bryopsida; Funariales; Funariaceae. The record is from RNAcentral.
UUACACAAACACAGACUCAUUCUCUCUACUGAACUACAAUCAGAUUUCAGCAUUCAAUCUUUCUUCUUCUCAAAUAAUACCAAUCACAUUUCUAUUCCAUAAUUUACUUCACAAUAUUUAGAAACUCUCAAUCCUCUUAUUCAAAGAAAAUAACAAAUAAAAGAAAAGAGGUAGCACUAAGCUUACCUCGGCUCACAACUAUCAGAGCGAUCGCAUCUUAAUUAACUUCUACAACUCCUAUAUACUUUUCCUUGAUUCUCCAGAUUCUAACUGUAAUUCUAUAAUAAAUCACUUUUAAUAACUAAAUCACUCAUCCGUCCUCUUGAAUUUCCUAUUAUAUAGACUAUUAAUAUAUUUAACCAAUAUCUUUCAAAAACAAAUUAAUAUCUAUUCUACAUAUGUCAAUGAUAUAUAAGAAAUAAUCUUCUUAUGAAUCUACCUCUUAAAGUAUCAUUGCCAUUAAUGUCUUUUGAAAAAUAGGGAAUUGAUUAUAUUAGAAAAAUUUAUCCUAAUUCUUUUAGUAGUAAAAAAAUAUACCAUUAUAGCUACAAAAUAUUUGACCAAAUAGGCUAAGACCAAGGCAGUAACAACAAAUGAUGCUAAAACUACAACUAACUUCUUGUUUGAAUAAAUCAUCAUUCAAUUUGGUUGCCCUAAAAUAUUGAUUAGCAAUAAAGAUUAACACUUUUUGAAAAAAGUAAUGGAGGGAGUUAUAAAACGAUUCGCAAUUAACAAUCAUAAGACAACAUCCUAACACCCUCAAAUCAAUGGCCAUAUUGAAAGAGUAAAUCAAAUUCUUAUGAAUAUCUUAUAAAAAAUCAUAGUGGAUUCAAAAUGAGAUUGAA